ACGCUCGACACCUACGAGAGGCAGCAGUGGGGAAUAUUGGGCAAUGGGCGAAAGCCUGACCCAGCAACGCCGCGUGAGGGAAGAAGGUUUUCGGAUUGUAAACCUCUGUCCUCAGGGACGAAGGACGUGACGGUACCUGAGGAGGAAGCCCCGGCUAACUACGUGCCAACAGCCGCCGGUAAUACUGAGCGGGCGUGGCGAAGGACG
RNAcentral lists this ribosomal RNA (207 nucleotides) under uncultured bacterium. Its description in RNAcentral is "partial 16S ribosomal RNA". It matches the Rfam family "Bacterial small subunit ribosomal RNA", at positions 328 to 538 of the family's 1533-position model. The record is from RNAcentral.